Molecule: unclassified non-coding RNA, 368 nt
Filed under: uncultured Microbotryomycetes
Lineage: Eukaryota; Fungi; Basidiomycota; Microbotryomycetes
Description: sequence contains ITS1
Rfam family: 5.8S ribosomal RNA (bases 1-105)
Source: RNAcentral
GAAAUGUGAUAAGUAAUGUGAAUUGCAGAAUUCAGUGAAUCAUCGAAUCUUUGAACGCAUCUUGCGCUCCUUGGUAUUCCGAGGAGCAUGCUUGUUUGAGUGUCAUGAAUUCUUCAACCUACACUUUUUCUUAGUAAAUUGAGUAGUGUUUGGAUUUUGAGCGCUUGCUAGUCUCACGACUUGGCUCGCUCGUAAUAUAUUAGCAAUUCUAAUCAAUAAUUGGAUUGACUCGGUGUAAUAGACUAUUCGCUGAGGAGUACUUGCUUGCAAGUGGCCAAAUAUUAACCUGACUUUGCUGCUAAUCAGACUUUUCUAGUCAACUUUUAAGAUUAGACCUCAAAUCAAGUAGGACUACCAGCUGAACUUAA